CUAUGUUUUAAAACAGCACCUUUCCAAAAGAAACCAUGUCUUUCUCUGCAAUAUUUAAAAAAAAAUUGUAUUUGGUAAAUCAGGUUUUAAUGAAACACACAUUUUCAUCAGCUUAAUAAUUAAGAAGGCAAAAUAUCAUUUAGUGUUUCAAAACCAGAUAAAAUUAUUUACCAAUCAAAAAUUAUUGAAUGUUGACAUUAAAAAUAAUCUUAUCAACAAUAUCAUUUAAUUUUCUGUACCAUUCCCUCCUUCAAACACUCCUUUUUGUUUCCAGGAAUUCACAUCUCUCUCAUGCAGCCUUUACAGAAUGGCUUCUCUCACUUAGUAAUGUGCAUUUAAGAGUUCCUCCAUGUCUUUUCAGGGUAAAUACCAGGGAGCAUGAUGUCUGGAUCUGAUGGUGAGAAUGUUUGGUGUUGUGAGAAACUGCCAGAUGUCUUCCCGAAUGGUUGUACCAUUGUGCAUUCCCACCAGCAAAUUGUAAGUAUUCCUACUGCUCUAUAUCCUCACCAACUUUUGGUCUUGUCAGUGUUCCCAAUUUUGACCAUUCUAACAGGUAUAUUCUAGUAGUUGUAUCUCACUGUUAACUUGAAUUUGUAUUUGUCUUAUAACAUAUGAUGUAGAAUACCUUUACAUAUGCUUAUUUGUCAUAUGUGCAUGUUCUUUGAUGAGGUGUCUGUUAAGGUUUGGUCUGUUUUUGUUUUUUAAAUCAGGUUGUUUGCUUUCUUCUUGUGGAGUUUGAAGUGUUCUUUGCAUAUUUUGGAUAAUUGUCCUUUAUCAGAUGCGUCUUUUGCAAAUAUUUUCUCCGAGUCUGUCGCUGAUGUUCUCAUUCUCUUAAUACUGUGUCACAAAAAAGUUCUUAAAUAUAAUUAAGUGCAGCUGUAGCUUAUCAGUGAUUUGUUUCAUAGAUCAUACCUUUGAUGUUGUAUCCUAAAAUGUUACAGAUACACCCAAGGUUGUCCAGGUUUCUCCUAUAUUAUCUCUUAUGAUUUCUAUAGUUUUGUGUUUUACAUUUAGGUUCUGUGAUCCAUUUUGAGUUAAUUUUUGUGAAGCGUGAAAGGUCUGUGUCUAGAUUUGCUUACUUAUUUUAUGCAUGUGGAUGGCCAGUUGUUUGAUACUGUUUGUCAAAAUGACCAUUUUUGCUCCAUUGUGUUGCCUUUGCUCUUUUGUGAAUGAUCAGUGGACUAUAUUUAUGUGGCUCCAUUUCUGGGCUCUUUAUUCUGCUCCAUUGAUCCGUUUGUCUAUCUUUUCACCAAUACCACACUUGCUUGAUUAUUGUAGCUUUAUAGAAAGACUUGAAGUCAGGUAAUGUCUAUUCUCAACUCUAUUCUUCUCCUUCAAAAUUGUAUUGGCUAUUCUGGGUCUCUUGCCUUUCUGUAUAAUUAGUUUAUCAAUAUCCACAAAAUAACUUGCUGGGAUUUUAACUGGGAUAGCAUUAAAUCUAUAAAUCAAAUUGGUAAGAACUGACAUUUUGACAAUAUUGAGUUUUCCUAUCCAUGAACAUUCUAUAUCUCUUCAUUUAUUUAGUUCAUCCUUAAAGUCAUUCAUCAGAGUUUGACAGUCAGUUUCCCACAUAUAAAUCUUGCACAAAUUUUGUUAGAUUUAUAUCUAAGUACUUCAUUUUUAGGUACUGAUAUAAAUAAUAUCUUUUUAAUUUCAAAUUCUACUUGUUCAUUGUGUUUAUUUACAAAACAAUUAAUUUUUGUGUAUUAAUCUUGUAUCCUGCUACCUGGCUAUAAUCCCUUAUCAGUUCCAAGAGUUUUGUUGUCUAUUCUUUUGGAUUUUCUACAUAGAUAAUCAUGAUAUCAGUGAACAAAGAUAGUUUUUUUUUUCUUUUCUCUAUCUGCAUAUCUUUUAUUUCCUGUUCUUGUCUUAUGCAUUGGCUAAAAGUUCCAGUAGGAUAUUGAGAAAGAGUAAUGAGAAAGGACUCCUUGCCUUGUUGGAAAGUUUUUAAUUUCUCACAAACAAGUAUGAUGUUGGUUAUAAGUUUUUUAAGGUAUUCUUUAUCAAAUUGAACAAGUUCCAUUCUAUUCCUAUUUUACUCUUUUUAUUAUGAAAGUGUUUUAGAUUUUGUCAAAUGUUUUUUUCUGCAUGCAUUGGUAUGGCCAUGUGAUUUUCUUUUUUUAGCUUAUUGACACGAUGCAUUGAGUUAAAUGUUAAACCAGUCCUAUAUAUAUGUGGGAUAAAUCCCACUUGGUCAUGGUAUAUAAUUCUCUUAUUACAUUGUUGGAAUGAAUUGGCUGAUAUUCAUUAGGUAAAACAAAAAUUUUAUUAAGUAAAAUAAAAUUUUAGAGUAUAUGACUAUAAUUUUAUUUUCCUUUAUCAAUCAGAGCUCCAGUUACAAUAUCUCUGUUCCUUGAAAUAACAUCCCUACCUUCUACAAGGAGUGCAAGGCCAGGUUCUAGAAAAGGACAUAGAAAAUUAUUCUGAUCCUACUAUCUACAAAGAGACUUGCAUCUACACUGGUAUAAGGAAAUAAUUAUCAAUGGGCUUAGAAAUGUUUCUGCAAGUGAUAAUGUCACUUAGGCCUUUAUCAUAACUUCUUUGGUAUAAAAUUAAUACAAAACUUAUUAUGAAAGUGCAAAGGAAACCAUUCAUGUCAUUUAUUUUAGACCAAGAGUAUAGUGAGAUACCAUGUAUUUACCAAGCGAGAAAAAUAUGUAUUUUAUGCUUGACAAAUUAACUAUAUAUUAUUUAUUUUUAGUUGAGUUAUAGAUUAAAAGCAUGAUUUGCUAGCAGUUUUAAGAACAUUUAGGUAUUGUGUAAAGAGUAACAGUCUAUGACAUACCUAUGUGAUGUAUUGCCAGUUUCAUAUCAAUUAUAUGAAAAGUAAAAUGGUUUACAAUCCAAUGAUCCCCUUCAAGUUCAAGCUCUCAAACUGUGAAUACUGAGGGAAACUUUUUGGCAUGCAGACUUCUUCCACCUCUUCAUAGAUGAAACAUAAAUGUGAACUGGAAGAGCUGUGAUUUUUAGUGCUACACAGAAAGCAUGCACUUUAAAACUUUGCAUGAUAAAAAUACCAAUAUGCCCAAUUUGUGUUGAACAUUUUCAAUAUUUCCUUUUACCAAUCUGAGAUUUUUGCCUAGAUUUCUUUACAAAAAAAAAAAAAACAAAAAAAAACCAUUUGCUUAAUUUACAAAUUCAAAGUAGA
This is a long non-coding RNA of Lutra lutra (Eurasian river otter), 3148 nucleotides long. RefSeq lists it as uncharacterized. The record is from RefSeq and is a predicted model, not a curated record. The transcript has 2 exons. Lineage: Eukaryota; Metazoa; Chordata; Mammalia; Carnivora; Mustelidae.